AAAUUUUAAUAUUGUCGCUUAUCUUUAGAAGUAUAGUUACUGUCAUUCAUGUAAUUCUCGUAACUAUAAAUUCAUUAAAGUAAGUAAUUAGUUUAAAUUUUAAAGUCAAAAUACUAUCGUCUCAUUCAAAUCAAAUAAAUUGAAAAGUUGGCUAGUAAAAUGAGAAUUUUGAAAGACUGGGUAACAAAUUUAAAAUAUUCUAUAGUUCUGAUAAAUUUUGUAUGUUUUUUUACCUUUUCAAUAUUACCAGAGGCAAAAAAAUAAAAAAAUAAAAAAAUCUAAUCAUGGCUAGAUAUCUGUAUUUGCUUUAGCAAUAUCAAAACUAGUUUUAACUUUUAACAAUAUUAAUUUUUUUUACCGAUCAUAUCUAGCGCAAUUUACUAAAACUUGAUGGUUGUCAUUUGAAAUCUCAAAUUUGAAACCAAAUUACUUUAAAUUUUUAUCCAAUCUAAAAAAACAAACGAAACAAUAACAUUCUACGCUAGUUAAUUAGUUACAUAUAUUGUGUGUUCUUUAAAAGGUACCGUUUGGAUCGGGUAUAAAGGGGGGAUAAGGGGGUUAUCCCCCUCUUUAUACCCAAACAAAUUUUUUUGGGGUGGGAACACAACUUGUUCCCACCCACAAGGGGUGGGAACAAGUUGUUCCCACGUUCCCACCCAACCUGGUACAAGGCCUCCUUGUACCAGGUUGGGUCGGAACAAGUUGUUCCCACCCAGGGGUGGGGAACAAGGGGUGGGAAACAAGUUGUUCCCACCCCCUAGGUAGAGAGAGAGAGAGAGAUUUUUAUUUUAAAUUUAAAUUUAAAUUUUUAAAAUUUAUAAUUUUUAAAAUUUAAAUUUAUAAUUUAAAAAUUAUAAAUUUUAAAUUUAAAAUUUAAAAUUUGAUAUUUUUAGUUUUUAAAUUUUAAAUUUGCUAUUUUCUAUCUUUGAAAUUUAAAUGUCUUAAAUUUAAAAUUUGAUAUUUAAAAUUAAAAUUUUGAAAAUUAAAAUUUUAAAUUUUAAUUUCAAAUUUUAAAAUUUAAAAGUUAAAAUUUUCAAUUUUCAAUUUAAAAUUAUAAGUUUAAAAUUUAAAAAUUUAAAUUCAAUUAUAGGGGUAAUAUCAUUAUUUUCUAUUUAUAACUAACAACUAUUCCUCUUAUUCCCAAUAACCAUCCAAACACAAUUUUUCUAGUUCCAGCUUAUACUCGCAUUUUCAUCCAAACAAAAAAAUAUUCUUAUUCUUACAAAAAUUCAUAUUUGUACCUAUCCCCGAUAUAACUAGUUCUUAGUAAUUCUCGAACCAAACGAAGCUUUACUACAUGAUCAAAAUAACAAUAUAUAC
RNAcentral lists this long non-coding RNA (1320 nucleotides) under Ananas comosus (pineapple). RNAcentral describes it as "long non-coding RNA (ACOM_LNC008457)". The record is from RNAcentral. Lineage: Eukaryota; Viridiplantae; Streptophyta; Magnoliopsida; Poales; Bromeliaceae.